AGAGGUUGAACGGCCACAUUGGGACUGAGACACGGCCCAGACUCCUACGGGAGGCAGCAGUGGGGAAUAUUGCACAAUGGGGGAAAUCCUGAUGCAGCGACGCCGCGUGGAGGAAGAAGGUCUUCGGAUUGUAAACUCCUGUUGUUGGGGAAGAUAAUGACGGUACCCAACAAGGAAGUGACGGCUAACUACGUGCCAGCAGCCGCGGUAAAACGUAGGUCACAAGCGUUGUCCGGAAUUACUGGGUGUAAAGGGAGCGCAGGCGGGAAGACAAGUUGGAAGUGAAAUCUAUGGGCUCAACCCAUAAACUGCUUUCAAAACUGUUUUUCUUGAGUAGUGCAGAGGUAGGCGGAAUUCCCGGUGUAGCGGUGGAAUGCGUAGAUAUCGGGAGGAACACCAGUGGCGAAGGCGGCCUACUGGGCACCAACUGACGCUGAGGCUCGAAAGUGUGGGUAGCAAACAGGAUUAGAUACCCUGGUAGUCCACACCGUAAACGAUGAUUACUAGGUGUUGGAGGAUUGACCCCUUCAGUGCCGCAGUUAACACAAUAAGUAAUCCACCUGGGGAGUACGACCGCAAGGUUGAAACUCAAAGGAAUUGACGGGGGCCCGCACAAGCAGUGGAGUAUGUGGUUUAAUUCGACGCAACGCGAAGAACCUUACCAAGUCUUGACAUCCCUUGACAGACAUAGAAAUAUGUAUUCUCUUCGGAGCAAGGAGACAGGUGGUGCAUGGUUGUCGUCAGCUCGUGUCGUGAGAUGUUGGGUUAAGUCCCGCAACGAGCGCAACCCUUAUGGUCAGUUACUACGCAAGAGGACUCUGGCCAGACUGCCGUUGACAAAACGGAGGAAGGUGGGGAUGACGUCAAAUCAUCAUGCCCUUUAUGACUUGGGCUACACACGUACUACAAUGGCGUUAAACAAAGAGAAGCAAGACCGCGAGGUGGAGCAAAACUCAGAAACAACGUCCCAGUUCGGACUGCAGGCUGCAACUCGCCUGCACGAAGUCGGAAUUGCUAGUAAUCGUGGAUCAGCAUGCCACGGUGAAUACGUUCCCGGGCCUUGUACACACCGCCCGUCACACCAUGAGAGCCGGGGGGACCCGAAGUCGGUAGUCUAACCGCAAGGAGGACGCCGCCGAAGGUAAAACUGGUGAUUGGGGUGAAGUCGUAACAAGGUAGCCGUAGGAGAACCUGCGGCUG
This 1200-nucleotide ribosomal RNA is filed under the name metagenome. Its description in RNAcentral is "bacterial SSU rRNA". It matches the Rfam family "Bacterial small subunit ribosomal RNA", at positions 295 to 1520 of the family's 1533-position model. The record is from RNAcentral.